This 253-nucleotide ribosomal RNA is filed under the name uncultured bacterium. RNAcentral's name for it is "partial 16S ribosomal RNA". It matches the Rfam family "Bacterial small subunit ribosomal RNA", at positions 524 to 776 of the family's 1533-position model. The record is from RNAcentral.
UACAUGUGGGGCAAGCGUUGUUCGGAAUUACUGGGCAUAAAGGGUGCGUAGGUGGUUUGUUAAGUCAGGGGUGAAAUCUCGGAGCUUAACUCCGAAACUGCAUUCGAUACUGCCGUGCUUGAGGACUGGAGAGGAGACUGGAAUUUACGGUGUAGCGGUGAAAUGCGUAGAUAUCGUAAGGAAGACCAGUGGCGAAGGCGGGUCUCUGGACAGUUCCUGACGCUGAGGCACGAAGGUCAGGGGAGCAAACGGG